RNAcentral lists this unclassified non-coding RNA (571 nucleotides) under Hevea brasiliensis (rubber tree). The record is from RNAcentral. Lineage: Eukaryota; Viridiplantae; Streptophyta; Magnoliopsida; Malpighiales; Euphorbiaceae.
GCAGGUUAUAGAAACGAAAUGAAAUUGAUGUUUUCUGGGGCUCUUUAAUUUCUAUUUUGGGUUUCCUGUUCUAGCUCGUUUCAGAUAUUUCUGAUAUUAUUAAUCAAAAUUUAUGGCUCUGUCCUUUGUAAUCUGUAUGCCUUUUUCUUGUUCUGGAAUGAAUUGGGUUUUUCAUUCAAACUCCGUAAACAUCAACUAUGUCUUUGGGUUUGAAUUCUGGGUCUACUUUCUUGUCUUUAUUCAUCUUUUCUUUAUGUUAAAGUAUCAUCCCUUUCUUCUCCUCUGUCAUUUAAUAUAAAAUUAUUUGGUGAUGUUUUCUAUGGCGUCCCGUAGUUUAGGGAGGAAUAAAUAAUCAAUUCAGCAAUAAUUAUGUUAGUAGAGCUCAAACAUUAAUUCAACAGAGCUUAGUGAAGAUUUUAUUUAGUAAUGAAAAUUUUCUGAGAUGGGUUUUAAGUAAUUGAAUUUGAAAGAUGCGAGAUAAUAAUUCUGAAGCAUGAAAUUUUUGCAGAAAUAUGAACCAGGAUAUACGGCAACUUCAAAAAAGUGUCAGCAAAUGGAGGAAAUGACAACU